This is a long non-coding RNA of Labeo rohita (rohu), 766 nucleotides long. RefSeq lists it as uncharacterized. The transcript is spliced from 3 exons. Lineage: Eukaryota; Metazoa; Chordata; Actinopteri; Cypriniformes; Cyprinidae. The record is from RefSeq and is a predicted model, not a curated record.
UUUUUAUAAAUUGUAUAGUGAAAUUGUCACCAGAAAGAAGCCACAGCAAAACUGGAGAGAACAAGGAGAGAUGGAGAACAAACUGGAAGAACCACAAACCCGUGAAUCAAGACACAUAGUGAAAUGCACAAGAUAUGACAGCAUGGUUUAUGUAAAACCAGAUUUCUCUAAUGAUCCAGUCAAACCUGAGUCUAAUUCUGAUGUACCUGAGACAGCUCAAGAUGAGGUGAUCACAAAUCACUAACAUCUCCCAGGACCUGAAGUGGGACAUUUAGAAAAAAGCCCAGCAGAGGUUGUACUUUCUUCAUCACCUGAAAAAGUUCAAUCUACCACAGGCACUGAUGACACAGUUUUACUCAGCUGUCACUGAGUCAGUUCUGUGCUCUUCUAUAACUGUCUGGUUUGGGGCAGCCAGCAAAUCAGAUAUAAGAAGACUGCAAUGGACUUUUAGGACAGCAGAAAGGAUCAUUGAUGUGCACCUGCCCAACCUUCAGGACUUGUACAUCUCCAGAGUGAAGAAACAGGAAGGAAACAUCAUCCAAGACUCCUGUCACCCCAGACACAACCUGUUUGCACUUCUCCCCUCAGGCAGACGCUACAGAUCCCUGAGCACUAGAACAUCUAGGCAUAAAAACAGCUUUUUCCCAAUUGCCAUCUCCAGCUUAAACGGCUAAAACAUUAAUCAUUACCUGUGUUCUACAAUCCAUUCUGUAUUUUUCUCCAUUCUGAUUGUUGUCUCUGUCUGUAGUAUUAUUAUGUAAAUAGA